CAAUAGCGUAUAUUAAAGUUGUUGCGGUUAAAAAGCUCGUAGUUGGAUUUCUGGCUUGGACGACCGGUCCGUGCUAUGCAUGAGUAUCUGGUUCGGCCUAGCCAUCUUGCUAGAGAACGCGUGCGUACUUCACUGUAUGUCGUGGUAUCUAGCCUUUUACUUUGAGGAAAUGAGAGUGUUCCAAGCAGGCAAUCGCCGUGAAUAUGAUAGCAUGGAAUAAUAGCACAGGACUCUUGGUUCAAUGCUGUUGGUUGAUUGAACUAGAGUAAUCAUAAUAAGGAUAGUUGGGGGUAUUCGUAUUUAACUGUCAGAGGUGAAAUUCUUGGAUUUUUUAAAGACGAACAAUUGCGAAGGCAUCUACCCAGGAUGUUUUUGUUGA
This 379-nucleotide ribosomal RNA is filed under the name uncultured eukaryote. Its description in RNAcentral is "partial 18S ribosomal RNA". It matches the Rfam family "Eukaryotic small subunit ribosomal RNA", at positions 592 to 976 of the family's 1831-position model. The record is from RNAcentral.